AGAACGAACGCUGGCGGCAUGCCUAAUACAUGCAAGUCGAACGAACUCUUCGGAGUUAGUGGCGCACGGGUGCGUAACGCGUGGGAAUCUGCCCCUUGGUUCGGAAUAACAGUUGGAAACGACUGCUAAUACCGGAUGAUGACGAAAGUCCAAAGAUUUAUCGCCAAGGGAUGAGCCCGCGUAGGAUUAGCUAGUUGGUGAGGUAAAGGCUCACCAAGGCAACGAUCCUUAGCUGGUCUGAGAGGAUGAUCAGCCACACUGGGACUGAGACACGGCCCAGACUCCUACGGGAGGCAGCAGUAGGGAAUAUUGGACAAUGGGCGAAAGCCUGAUCCAGCAAUGCCGCGUGAGUGAUGAAGGCCUUAGGUUGUAAAGCUCUUUUACCCGAGAUGAUAAUGACAGUAUCGGAGAAUAAGCCCCGGCUAACUCCGUGUCAGCAGCCGC
RNAcentral lists this ribosomal RNA (444 nucleotides) under uncultured soil bacterium. RNAcentral describes it as "bacterial SSU rRNA". It matches the Rfam family "Bacterial small subunit ribosomal RNA", at positions 26 to 518 of the family's 1533-position model. The record is from RNAcentral.